UGAGUUUGAUCCUGGCUCAGAGCGAACGCUGGCGGCAGGCCUAAUACAUGCAAGUCGAGCGGUCCCUUCGGGGGCAGCGGCGGACGGGUGAGUAACGCGUGGGAACGUGCCCUUUGGUACGGAACAACUGAGGGAAACUUCAGCUAAUACCGUAUGUGCCCUUCGGGGGAAAGAUUUAUCGCCAUUGGAGCGGCCCGCGUUGGAUUAGGUAGUUGGUGAGGUAAAGGCUCACCAAGCCUACGAUCCAUAGCUGGUCUGAGAGGAUGAUCAGCCACACUGGGACUGAGACACGGCCCAGACUCCUACGGGAGGCAGCAGUAGGGAAUCUUGCGCAAUGGGCGAAAGCCUGACGCAGCCAUGCCGCGUGAAUGAUGAAGGUCUUAGGAUUGUAAAAUUCUUUCACCGGGGACGAUAAUGACGGUACCCGGAGAAGAAGCCCCGGCUAA
Molecule: ribosomal RNA, 446 nt
Filed under: uncultured Alphaproteobacteria bacterium
Lineage: Bacteria; Pseudomonadati; Pseudomonadota; Alphaproteobacteria
Description: bacterial SSU rRNA
Rfam family: Bacterial small subunit ribosomal RNA
Source: RNAcentral